UACCUGUCGUUUAUAAUAGUUGGCUGAUUACUGGAUAAUUCGUUUUGUGGAUAUUGUUCAUUUGAAACAACUUUCAAAAACCUUGAUUGCAGACAUAAUAGAUUUUAUAUCAUACAAGGAAUGUUAUAAGAACAUAAACUGCUCAAAUGUUCUCAAUUGACGUUAAAAAUAUCUAACAAUAAAUGAAAUAUACAUGUUUUGUCAAACCA
RNAcentral lists this long non-coding RNA (209 nucleotides) under Mytilus galloprovincialis (Mediterranean mussel). The record is from RNAcentral. Lineage: Eukaryota; Metazoa; Mollusca; Bivalvia; Mytilida; Mytilidae.